Molecule: ribosomal RNA, 575 nt
Filed under: Staphylococcus aureus
Lineage: Bacteria; Bacillati; Bacillota; Bacilli; Caryophanales; Staphylococcaceae
Description: bacterial SSU rRNA
Rfam family: Bacterial small subunit ribosomal RNA
Source: RNAcentral
CGCGAAGAACCUUACCAAAUCUUGACAUCCUUUGACAACUCUAGAGAUAGAGCCUUCCCCUUCGGGGGACAAAGUGACAGGUGGUGCAUGGUUGUCGUCAGCUCGUGUCGUGAGAUGUUGGGUUAAGUCCCGCAACGAGCGCAACCCUUAAGCUUAGUUGCCAUCAUUAAGUUGGGCACUCUAAGUUGACUGCCGGUGACAAACCGGAGGAAGGUGGGGAUGACGUCAAAUCAUCAUGCCCCUUAUGAUUUGGGCUACACACGUGCUACAAUGGACAAUACAAAGGGCAGCGAAACCGCGAGGUCAAGCAAAUCCCAUAAAGUUGUUCUCAGUUCGGAUUGUAGUCUGCAACUCGACUACAUGAAGCUGGAAUCGCUAGUAAUCGUAGAUCAGCAUGCUACGGUGAAUACGUUCCCGGGUCUUGUACACACCGCCCGUCACACCACGAGAGUUUGUAACACCCGAAGCCGGUGGAGUAACCUUUUAGGAGCUAGCCGUCGAAGGUGGGACAAAUGAUUGGGGUGAAGUCGUAACAAGGUAGCCGUAUCGGAAGGUGCGGCUGGAUCACCUCCUUU